AACGCGAAGAACCUUACCUGGGUCUGACAUACGCGAGAAACCCCCAGAGAUGGGGGUCUCUUUGAUACUCGUGUACAGAUGGUGCAUGGCUGUCGUCAGCUCGUGUCGUGAGAUGUUGGGUUAAGUCCCGCAACGAGCGCAACCCUCGUUCCAUGUUGCCAGCACGUAAUGGUGGGGACUCAUGGGAGACUGCCGGGGUCAACUCGGAGGAAGGUGGGGAUGACGUCAAGUCAUCAUGCCCCUUAUGUCCAGGGCUUCACGCAUGCUACAAUGGCCGGUACAAAGGGCUGCGAUCCCGUGAGGGGGAGCGAAUCCCUAAAAGCCGGUCUCAGUUCGGAUCGGGGUCUGCAACUCGACCCCGUGAAGUCGGAGUCGCUAGUAAUCGCAGAUCAGCAACGCUGCGGUGAAUACGUUCCCGGGUCUUGUACACACCG
Molecule: ribosomal RNA, 434 nt
Filed under: uncultured bacterium
Lineage: Bacteria
Description: bacterial SSU rRNA
Rfam family: Bacterial small subunit ribosomal RNA
Source: RNAcentral